Molecule: long non-coding RNA, 5595 nt
Filed under: Brassica rapa (field mustard)
Lineage: Eukaryota; Viridiplantae; Streptophyta; Magnoliopsida; Brassicales; Brassicaceae
Description: long non-coding RNA (BRAP_LNC001088)
Source: RNAcentral
AUCACUUGUUGCAGCCUUUGUUUCCAUGGCUCUUGCCUACAAGUUUGAAUAAAGUCAUUAGUUUGAAUUAUAAUGAUAGAUGCAAGAUUCAGUAUGAGAGGAGGAAGAAGAGGUUGGUAGGUGGAAGCGAGUGAAGAAAGGAGAAGAUACGGUUAAGGUGUGCUGACGUGUCUUUGGAGUGAAGCACAUAAGACUUAGAAUAUUAUAGAGUAUAAAUAGCAGUUGUAUUCAUUCAUUAGAGGUUAUCGAGAAUUACAUAGAUGUAUCUUAGCACAUGAGCUGAGAGCUACUCAGGUGAUAGAGUAGUUGAGGAUUCAGGUGAUAGAAUCCUCCAUUGUUGUAAUUCUUGAGUUCGUCUAUCAAUAUACAGAGAGUUUCCAGGAGAUACGAUCUCUGAUCUUAUCAAUUGGUGCGGUGAAACUGGUUCGAGUUACGCGACGGUUACGAUCGGAGUUUCGACGGUUACGAUCGGAGUUUCGACGGUUACGAUCGGAGUUUCGUGACGAUCGGAGCUACGGUGGUUACGAUCGGUGGUUGGUGAGUCGAUCUAGCGUACGGCGCGACGUAGACGUUGUUCGAUCGCAGGUUGGCUGUUACAAAUCGGUUGACGAACGAUGUCGAAGGUGAAGAGAGUGGAGUCGAGCUCGAACGCGGAGUCGGAAGAUGAAUUCGAGGUGACGGAUAUGGAUCUGGAGUUUCUGCGCGGUGGUUAUGUGCGUCUAAACAGAGCAUUAAAGGAAUCGGAUGCGAAACAUGAGAGCGUUGGCCACGAAUUGAAGACGAUUAGGCAACUCUUGGAGAGACUAACGCCUCAAGGAGAUCCAGGCAAGAGACCAAUCCACGAACCUUAUCGUCAUCAGGUACAUUCUUCGAAUUGGGAACGUAAUCCGGAAGAACACCCGCUAGGUUAUCGAUCUGGGAAUAUGAAUCUAGCCACUAGGGAUUCAAUGUUACAGAAGAUACCUAUGCCUACGUUCUCGGGGAAGCAACCGUAUGCGUGGAUCACAGAUGUAGAGAGGUGGUUCAGUGUGGGAAGAUAUGAUGAAGAUGAGAAGUUAGAAUUGGUGGGAUUGAGUUUGGAUGGCAGAGUGAAGAAAUGGUUCGGAUGGGAACUGAAGCGCAACGGGUUUCAGAGCUGGAAUGAGUUUAAAGAGAAACUAUUGCUACGUUUUACAGAGUCAAUUGAGGAGGAACCAGCAAGUCGUUUGAUAGCAAUCAAACAAACCGGUUCAGUAGCAGAUUAUAUAUCAGAGUUUGAAGAGUUAUCAGAGUUAGUUCUGGGGUUGAGUGAUGAGUUCUUGAUAAAAAUAUUCUACAACGGUUUGAACCAAGAAAUGAAGGAAGUUAUAAGGAUGAAGGAACCAAAAGGUUUGGAGAAUCAUAUUGCGGCGGUAUUAAAGAUGGAGUCGAGUGCUUUCUGUAGAGUGAUUAGUGGGGGGACGAAAGCUGAGACAGAGGGUCGUCGACAGUUUCAGUCUAAUCCAUUAAGGUCCUCAUCAACAUACAAUUCUCAACGUCAUUAUGCAGAGACUGAUAACAGACGCAACAAUUCAAACCCGGUAACACAAAAGAAAGACAACUUGCCUGUCAAACCUAACUCAGAAGUCAGACCUCGUCUGAAGCACUCAAAUGAAGAACUUGACCGAAUGCGAAAGGAGUUUAUAUGUUUUAAAUGUGGAGCUCACGGGUGGACAAGAGCUCACAAAUGUCCUAAUAAGGAGCUGAGGAUCUUGACGGUAUUCAAUGGCAUUGAAAUGGAAGUGUUGGAUACAGAGGAUGAGUCCGAGGAGGAGGAAACUAUAGUUUACAAGCCAGUCCAAGAAUUGAGAAAAUUAUCACUCAAUUCGUUCUUGGGAAAGCAAUCUCCGAGGACAACACGAAUGUAUGGGGUGAUCCAACAGUCCAACGUGAUCGUGCUAUUAGACAGUGGCGCAUCACAUAACUUCAUCACACCGGAAACGGUGGCAAGGCUCAAAUUGAAAGUUUGUGCAGAUAAGAGCCUAGACAUUGUGCUGGGGAAUGGGGCAACAGUGCAAAGCAUUGGGGUUUGCGAGUCCCUUCCUUUUCAAUUGGCAAAUGUCGAAUUUGUAUCCGAUUUUAUAGCUUUGGAAUUGGGAAUGGUUGAUGUUAUUCUAGGAAUUCAGUGGCUGGAGACUUUAGGAAAAUGUGAAGUGGAUUGGAAGAAGCAAGAGCUGUCAUUUGUGUACAAAGGUAACAAAGUGACAUUGCUCGGAGACCCAACCCUACAUUCUUCCAAACUCUCACUAAAGUCGCUGUCUCCUAUCUCGGCGGUUGAUGCAAAAAGAAGAGAAGUGUUUUUGUCAUCAACCAAUGAGGUAACAUCUGAUAUUCCAGCUAUUCCGAGAAAGCUACUUCACCUCCUGGAGGAAUUUGAUCAGGUCUUCGCAUUACCUACGGGCCUACCACCCUUUAGGGGUUAUGAUCAUUCCAUCUGCCUAAGACCAGGGGUGAAUACUAUCUCUGUACGUCCCUACCGUUACCCCCACGCAACAAAAGUGGUAAUGGAGAAAAUGGUUGGGGAAAUGCUAGAAGCAGGGAUAAUCAGAGUUAGUACUAGUCCUUUUUCAAGUCCAGUGCUGCUGGUAAAGAAAAAGGAUGGCUCGUGGAGAUUUUGUGUUGAUUAUAGAGCCCUUAAUAAAGUCACAAUACCGGACAAGUUUCCUAUUCCGGUCAUUGAUCAGCUACUUGAUGAACUAUAUGGAGCUACAGUAUUCUCGAAGAUAGACUUACGGUCAGGCUAUCAUCAGAUCCGAAUGAAGGAAUCAGACGUAGAGAAAACAGCUUUCAGAACCUUGGAAGGUCACUACGAGUUCCUAGUCAUGCCUUUUGGGUUGACUAAUGCGCCAGCAACUUUUCAAGCUCUGAUGAAUGCAAUCUUUAAGCCGUAUUUGCGGAAGUUCAUCUUGGUCUUCUUUGACGAUGUUCUCAUCUAUAGUCGAAAUGAGGAAGAACAUGUGGAACACGUACGCAUCGCAUUGAAGGUCUUGGUGGAUAACAAACUGUUGGCAAACAAAAAGAAGUGUGCAUUCGGUUUAUCUCAUGUCGAGUAUUUGGGUCACAUAAUCUCUCGAGAAGGAGUAGCAACAGAUUCAUCUAAAACAAAGAGUAUGAAGGAGUGGCCUACACCGAAGUCAGUAAAGCAGUUACGAGGCUUCCUUGGUCUCACUGGUUACUAUCGCAACUAUGUCAAGGGAUAUGGGACUAUUGCAAGACCUCUAACAGCACUACUACAGAAAGACGGUUUUGCUUGGUCUAAAGAAGCUCAAAGUUCGUUUGAAGAACUGAAGCACGCAAUGAUUUCAGCACCAGUUUUAGCCUUACCAAACUUUGAAAAGCAAUUUAUCAUAGAGUCUGACGCCUCAGGGUUCGGAGUGGGUGCGGUACUGAUGCAGGAUCGUCGUCCGAUCGCAUUUUUUAGUCAUGGCCUAACAGCACGGGAAAGGUUGAAACCAGCUUAUGAAAGAGAGUUAAUGGCAGUGGUUCUCGCAGUUCAGAAAUGGAAGCAUUAUCUGUUGGGCAGAAAAUUUGUGGUACAUACAGAUCAGCGCAGUUUGAAAUACUUAUUGGAACAGAAAGAAGUUAACAUGGAAUACCAAAGAUGGCUGACAAAGCUGUUGGGUUACGAUUUUGAUAUCAUUUAUAAACCAGGGUGUGACAAUAAGGCGGCUGAUGGUUUAUCACGAAUUGAGAACGAGGAGAUUCUAGCAAAUACGUUGACAUUAUUGGCUAUUACGGUUCCUGCGGUCAUUCAACUACAAGAUCUUUAUAAGGAAAUAGCUGCGGAUGGAGAUUUAAAACAGUUAGUUGAAUUAGUGAGACAGGGGAAACUCGCAAAUCCACACUAUAAGAUCAACAAUGACAAAUUGUGGUAUAAGAACAGACUUGUGAUACCUCGGCAGUCAAAAUCAAUUCCGCUGAUCUUGUUUGAAUGUCACGAUGGAAAACUUGGUGGUCACUCAGGAGUUCUGAAAACAGUAAAGCGGAUUCAGACAAUGUUCCAUUGGGAAGGGUUGUUCAAGACAGUACAGAAAUAUGUUGCAGAAUGUCCUGUAUGUCAGACGCACAAGUACUCUACUUUAUCACCAGCGGGACUCUUGCAACCACUACCGAUUCCGACUAGAGUUUGGGAAGACAUAUCAAUGGAUUUCGUGGAAGGUCUUCCUACUUCGCAAGGUGUUAAUGUGAUAAUGGUUGUGGUAGACAGACUCAGUAAAUAUGGGCAUUUCAUCGGGCUGCGACACCCAUUUACAGCGGUGGAUGUCGCUGGAAAAUUUAUGACAGAAGUGGUGAAGCAUCAUGGGUUUCCAACUUCUAUUGUAUCGGACAGGGACCGCAUCUUUCUAAGCAAUUUCUGGAAGGAUUUAUUUCGUUUGGUGGGAACAAAGUUGAAGUACAGCACUGCCUUUCAUCCACAAACAGAUGGACAAACAGAAGUCCUCAAUAGGUGCUUGGAAACAUACCUUCGUUGUUUCGCUUCAGGCCAUCCAAAAACGUGGUUUAAGUUUCUUUCUUGGGCUGAGCUAUGGUAUAACACUUCGUUUCAUACGUCUUUGAAAACUACCCCUUUCAGAGUGGUAUAUGGCCGCGAACCUCCACCUUUGGUACGUUUUGAAGAAGGGUCGACCCAGAACUAUGAUUUGGAAACAGCGUUAAAGGAGAGGGAUACAAUGUUAGAGCACAUCAAAUUGAAUCUGUCGCGAGCCCAGGCAAUAAUGAAGUCACAGGCAGAUAAACAUCGCAGGGAUGUACAGUUUAAUGUCGGCGAGCGGGUGUAUUUGAAGUUGAAACCAUUCAGACAGAACACCGUGGUCCGUCGUUACUGUCAGAAGUUAGCUGCUAAGUUCUUUGGACCUUAUGAGAUCGUGGAGAGGAUCGGUAAAGUAGCGUACCGGUUGAGACUACCUGAUUCAUCUAAAAUUCAUCCUGUCUUUCAUAUUUCACAAUUAAAAGCUGCGUUGGGUAAGGAUCAAGCGCUACAGGUGGUGCCACCAGCGUAUACAGAUUUGGAGAACUUAAUCAGAGAGCCGGAAGCUGUUCUUGCUUCGAGGAGGAAGGAGGAUGAUAAGGUGGAAUUGUUAGUGCGCUGGAAGCAUUUGUUGGAUCAUGACAAUUCGUGGAUGUCACUCGAUGACUUUGUGAGUCAUUUUCCGGAAUUCAAGCUUGAGGGCAAGCUUGCUUUCAAUGGAGGGAGUAUUGAUAGAUGCAAGAUUCAGUAUGAGAGGAGGAAGAAGAGGUUGGUAGGUGGAAGCGAGUGAAGAAAGGAGAAGAUACGGUUAAGGUGUGCUGACGUGUCUUUGGAGUGAAGCACAUAAGACUUAGAAUAUUAUAGAGUAUAAAUAGCAGUUGUAUUCAUUCAUUAGAGGUUAUCGAGAAUUACAUAGAUGUAUCUUAGCACAUGAGCUGAGAGCUACUCAGGUGAUAGAGUAGUUGAGGAUUCAGGUGAUAGAAUCCUCCAUUGUUGUAAUUCUUGAGUUCGUCUAUCAAUAUACAGAGAGUUUCCAGGAGAUACGAUCUCUGAUCUUAUCAUAUAACCAAGAGAGUAUGACCUAAAGAGCAGUUGGUGUUGUACUUACA